AUUGCCCUAGUAACGGCGAGUGAAGCGGCAACAGCUCAAAUUUGAAAUCUGGCCUUCUGGUCCGAAUUGUAAUUUGUAGAGGAUGUUUUUGGUGCGGUACCUUCCGAGUUCCUUGGAACAGGACGCCUUAGAGGGUGAGAGCCCCGUACGGUUGGAUACCUAGCCUGUGUAAAACUCCUUCGACGAGUCGAGUAGUUUGGGAAUGCUGCUCUAAAUGGGAGGUAAAUUUCUUCUAAAGCUAAAUACUGGCCAGAGACCGAUAGCGCACAAGUAGAGUGAUCGAAAGAUGAAAAGCACUUUGAAAAGAGGGUUAAAUAGCACGUGAAAUUGUUGAAAGGGAAGGAUUCAUGACCAGACUUAAGCUCGGCGGAUCAUCCGGUGUUCUCACCGGUGCUCUUCGCCGGGUCUAGGCCAGCAUCGGUUUUUGGAGAAGGAUAAAAGCUUCAGGAAUGUGGCCCCCUCGGGGGUGUUAUAGCCUGUUGUAUAAUACUUCUCCGGGGACCGAGGUUCGCGCUUCUGCAAGGAUGCUGGCGUAAUGGUUAUCAAUCACCCGUCUUGAAACACGGACCAAGGAGUCGAACAUUUAUGCGAGUGUUUGGGUGCUAAACCCUCACGCGUAAUGAAAGUGAACGGAGGUGAGAGCCCUUAAGGGUGCAUCAUCGACCGAUCCUGAAGUUUUCGGAUGGAUUUGAGUAAGAGCAUAACUGUUCGGACCCGAAAGAUGGUGAACUAUGCGUGGAUAGGGUGAAGCCAGAGGAAACUCUGGUGGAGGCUCGCAGCGGUUCUGACGUGCAAAUCGAUCGUCAAAUCUGCGCAUGGGGGCGAAAGACUAAUCGAACCAUCUAGUAGCU
Molecule: ribosomal RNA, 851 nt
Filed under: Cooksonomyces banksiae
Lineage: Eukaryota; Fungi; Ascomycota
Description: LSU rRNA
Rfam family: Eukaryotic large subunit ribosomal RNA
Source: RNAcentral